GUACGACCAAAAUUACCGAUCGGCACCGUUUCAGAGACGCAACGUGCACCUGUUUUAUCGUUAAUUUUGCUCGUAAACCUACGACCGUCAUACCAUUUGAUGCCAAGUGUACAACUGAAAUGAAAAUUGCCAACAGAAGUGUCAUGGUCUUGGUGGAAAAUGCUGUGUUCUUCAUUGACCUCUGUUUAAUAAUGGCUGGUGAUAGAAAACUAUCAGGAAUGCUUCAAGCUGGCAAUGGAGGGAAAUGUAAAAGUAGGACACUGAGAAAUCACAUGGUUUCAAACAUCUAGAAUAUGCUCACAGUCAGUCUUCCAGAUACUCACCUUAAAGGUUCCAGUGUGUUGUAGGAGACUUUGUCAGAACAGUACUUUAUACCUACAUACAUUGGAGAUACCAGACCAAGCAGAUAAUUACAGAUAUAUUGACACAGAAUCUGAAAUUAAUUGCAUAUCCCAACACAACAUAAGACUUUAAACUGUUAAAUAGGC
Molecule: long non-coding RNA, 488 nt
Organism: Mya arenaria
Lineage: Eukaryota; Metazoa; Mollusca; Bivalvia; Myida; Myidae
Exons: 4
Source: RefSeq, a predicted model, not a curated record